GAUGAACGCUGGCGGCGUGCCUAAUACAUGCAAGUCGAGCGAACAGACGAGGAGCUUGCUCCUCUGACGUUAGCGGCGGACGGGUGAGUAACACGUGGAUAACCUACCUAUAAGACUGGGAUAACUUCGGGAAACCGGAGCUAAUACCGGAUAAUAUAUUGAACCGCAUGGUUCAAUAGUGAAAGACGGUUUUGCUGUCACUUAUAGAUGGAUCCGCGCCGCAUUAGCUAGUUGGUAAGGUAACGGCUUACCAAGGCAACGAUGCGUAGCCGACCUGAGAGGGUGAUCGGCAACACUGGAACGGAGACACGGUCCAGACUCCUACGGGAGGCAGAAGUAGGGAAUCUUCCGCAAUGGGCGAAAGCCUGACGGAGAAACGCCGCGUGAGUGAUGAAGGUCUUCGGAUCGUAAAACUCUGUUAUUAGGGAAGAACAAAUGUGUAAGUAACUAUGCACGUCUUGACGGUACCUAAUCAGAAAGCCACGGCUAACUACGUG
Molecule: ribosomal RNA, 497 nt
Filed under: uncultured bacterium
Lineage: Bacteria
Description: partial 16S ribosomal RNA
Rfam family: Bacterial small subunit ribosomal RNA
Source: RNAcentral